GGCGAACGGGUGAGUAAUGCAUCGGAACGUGUCCUUAAGUGGGGGAUAACGCACCGAAAGAUGCGCUAAUACCGCAUAAUCUCUGAGGAGAAAAGCAGGGGAUCGCAAGACCUUGCACUAUUGGAUGAGCCUACGUCUGAUUAGCUUGUUGGUAGGGUAAAAGCCUACCAAGGCAACGAUCAGUAGCUGGUCUGAGAGGACGAUCAGCCACACUGGGACUGAGACACGGCCCAGACUCCUACGGGAGGCAGCAGUGGGGAAUAUUGGACAAUGGGCGAAAGCCUGAUCCAGCAAUGCCGCGUGUGUGAAGAAGGCCUGCGGGUUGUAAAGCACUUUCGGCAGGGAAGAAAUGCUUAGAGAUAAUACCUCUAAGUCUUGACGUCACCUGCAGAAGAAGCACCGGCUAACUCCGUGCCAGCAGCCGCGGUAAUACGGAGGGUGCGAGCGUUAAUCGGAAUUACUGGGCGUAAAGCGCGCGUAGGCGGUUUGGCAAGUCGGAUGUGAAAGCCCUGGGCUUAACCUGGGAAUUGCAUUCGAGACUGCCUGGCUAGAGUUUGGUAGGGGAAAGCGGAAUUCCGGGUGUAGCGGUGAAAUGCGUAGAUAUCCGGAGGAACAUCAGUGGCGAAGGCGGCU
Molecule: ribosomal RNA, 633 nt
Filed under: uncultured bacterium
Lineage: Bacteria
Description: bacterial SSU rRNA
Rfam family: Bacterial small subunit ribosomal RNA
Source: RNAcentral